RNAcentral lists this long non-coding RNA (582 nucleotides) under Ananas comosus (pineapple). RNAcentral describes it as "long non-coding RNA (ACOM_LNC026037)". Lineage: Eukaryota; Viridiplantae; Streptophyta; Magnoliopsida; Poales; Bromeliaceae. The record is from RNAcentral.
GCAUCUUUUGCGAAAUUACAAUUUGCCAACACCGACCUCUCCUCGAUCAACGUGCGAUCUCCGCAGAUCCGUCCGUCAGAUUUGCGAACGGAUUAUACCGGUGCGAUCAGAACCUCAGAGACAACAAAGCUAUGAUUUCAUUUCACCUCAAACGGUCGCGGAUUCACGACGAAAUCUGACCUUCUCUCCAACAGAAGAAACUACGCACAAAAUACAUAUAAAACACGUAUUUUUGGAUUUUCUCGAAAUCCGUGCGUCAAACUCAAAAUCCGUCAGCGCCAUUAGUUCCAGAAUAGCUGAUCUGAUCGAAACGAGCUAUUGGAUCGCUAUGAACGGAGUCCGGUACGCGCCGAUAGCCAGCUCUACCCCGUGGCUUUACCGAAAAACCGAAGUUACUAUUCACUUAAGUGAAAACUAAUAAUCGCGUAACUACUCCGUUUUAGCUCAGUUUCUCCUGAAACUUGACGAGUGCUUAUGUAAUUAAAUUACACACAUAAACAUCGUCAACUGAGAGUUUAGUUGCACUGUCAAAAUCUCAGUCCUUAUAGGUCAUUAAAAUUUUAUCAAUAAUUGAAUGUGCUC